RNAcentral lists this ribosomal RNA (274 nucleotides) under uncultured bacterium. RNAcentral's name for it is "partial 16S ribosomal RNA". It matches the Rfam family "Bacterial small subunit ribosomal RNA", at positions 523 to 796 of the family's 1533-position model. The record is from RNAcentral.
AUACGAAGGGGGCUAGCGUUGUUCGGAAUCACUGGGCGUAAAGCGCGCGUAGGUGGAUCAAUUAGUUGAGGGUGAAAUCCCGGGGCUCAACCUCGGAACUGCCUUCAAUACUGUUGAUCUUGAGACCGAGAGAGGUGAGUGGAAUUCCUAGUGUAGAGGUGAAAUUCGUAGAUAUUAGGAAGAACACCAGUGGCGAAGGCGGCUCACUGGCUCGGUACUGACGCUGAGGUGCGAAAGCGUGGGGAGCAAACAGGAUUAGAAACCCCUGUAGUCC